Molecule: long non-coding RNA, 660 nt
Filed under: Rattus norvegicus (Norway rat)
Lineage: Eukaryota; Metazoa; Chordata; Mammalia; Rodentia; Muridae
Description: long non-coding RNA NONRATT018277
Source: RNAcentral
AGGUAACUAUGGUGGUGGUGGGAACUAUAAUGACUUUGGAAAUUAUAGUGGACAGCAACAAUCUAAUUAUGGACCCAUGAAGGGGGGCAGUUUUGGUGGAAGAAGCUCAGGCAGUCCCUAUGGUGGUGGCUAUGGAUCUGGAGGUGGAAGUGGUGGAUAUGGUAGCAGAAGGUUUUAAAAUAAAACAAACGCUUUUCAGAGCAAAGGAAUAAAAAUCACUGGUUUGAACCCCUGACUGGCUGGCAUGCUUUCCUGUUCAUAUUCUAGCCAUUUUGCUGGAUGGUGAAGCAAAGUAUAGUAAGGUGUCGUCUAAACCAAGCAGCAGAAGAUGUAGCACACACAGUUGCUCAGUGCAAGCACCUCACUUCCCAAAUAUCUCAAUUCAAAUUCAGAACGUCUUGAGUCCUUAAAUCCCCAAAGAACACAUGGUUAUUCUUGUAUAUAUAUCAUUCUAAAACAUGUUGGGUGUGACAAUUUGGAGAACCUGUUUGAGGAGCUUUAGAUACUAAGGUGGUCAUAUACAUGAAAAAAAAAUGUCUGCUGUUGCGCCAGCUAGUGCUUAACAAUUUCAUUCAAGUCCUAAGUAUGUGCCCUGCUGUUACUUUCUUUGGCAGUUGACCGUUGAAUUCAGAUUUUUACUUGGUUUUUAAAGUAUAAGCU